CUGGCGGCGCGCUUACACAUGCAAGUCGCACGAGAAAGGGAGCAAUCCUGAGUAAAGUGGCGUACGGGUGAGUAACACGUGGAUCAUCUACCUCUUGGUGGGGAAUACCCCCGGGAAACUGGGGACAAUUCCGCAUAAGUUCGUGAGAAGAAAGCCGAAAGGCGCCGGGAGAGGAGUCCGCGGCUGAUUAGCUGGUUGGCGGGGUAAUGGCCCACCAAGGCGAAGAUCGGUAGCCGGCCUGAGAGGGCACACGGCCACACUGGCACUGAAACACGGGCCAGACUCCUACGGGAGGCAGCAGUGGGGAAUCUUGCACAAUGGGGGAAACCCUGAUGCAGCGACGCCGCGUGAGCGAUGAAGCCCUUCGGGGUGUAAAGCUCUUUCGACGGGAACGAUGAUGACGGUACCCGAAGAAGAAGCUGCGGCUAACUACGUGCCAGCAGCCGCGGUAAUACGUAGGCAGCAAGCGUUGUUCGGAAUUACUGGGCGUAAAGAGUGUGUANGCGGUGCUCUAAGUUCGGUGUGAAAUCUCCCGGCUCAACUGGGAGGGUGCGCCGGAAACUGGAGCGCUCGAGGUUGGGAGAGGAAAGCGGAAUUCCCGGUGUA
This 606-nucleotide ribosomal RNA is filed under the name uncultured bacterium. RNAcentral describes it as "bacterial SSU rRNA". It matches the Rfam family "Bacterial small subunit ribosomal RNA", at positions 36 to 677 of the family's 1533-position model. The record is from RNAcentral.